Molecule: ribosomal RNA, 443 nt
Filed under: uncultured bacterium
Lineage: Bacteria
Description: partial 16S ribosomal RNA
Rfam family: Bacterial small subunit ribosomal RNA
Source: RNAcentral
CCUACGGGAGGCAGCAGUGGGGAAUAUUGGACAAUGGGGGGAACCCUGAUCCAGCGACGCCGCGUGAGUGAAGAAGUAUUUCGGUAUGUAAAGCUCUAUCAGCAGGGAAGAAAGAAAUGACGGUACCUGACUAAGAAGCCCCGGCUAACUACGUGCCAGCAGCCGCGGUAAUACGUAGGGGGCAAGCGUUAUCCGGAUUUACUGGGUGUAAAGGGAGCGUAGGCGGCGAUGCAAGUCAGAAGUGAAAGCCCGGGGCUCAACUCCGGGACUGCUUUUGAAACUGUAUGGCUAGAUUGCAGGAGAGGCAAGUGGAAUUCCUAGUGUAGCGGUGAAAUGCGUAGAUAUUAGGAGGAACACCAGUGGCGAAGGCGGCUUGCUGGACUGUAAAUGACGCUGAGGCUCGAAAGCGUGGGGAGCAAACAGGAUUAGAUACCCGAGUAGUC